AUACGUAUGGUGCAAACGUUGUUCGGAAUCACUGGGCAUAAAGGGCGCGUAGGCGGUCUGGUAAGUCUGUAUGUGAAAUCCCUCGGCUUAACUGAGGAACUGCAUCGGAUACUGCCAGACUAGAGUGCAGGAGGGGAGAGCGGAAUUCCUGGUGGAGCGGUGAAAUGCGUAGAUAUCAGGGGGAACGCCGGUGGCGAAAGCGGCUCUCUGGCCUGCAACUGACGCUGAGGCGCGAAAGCUAGGGGAGCGAACGGGAUUAGAUACCCCAGUAGUCC
Molecule: ribosomal RNA, 275 nt
Filed under: uncultured bacterium
Lineage: Bacteria
Description: partial 16S ribosomal RNA
Rfam family: Bacterial small subunit ribosomal RNA
Source: RNAcentral